Molecule: ribosomal RNA, 253 nt
Filed under: uncultured bacterium
Lineage: Bacteria
Description: partial 16S ribosomal RNA
Rfam family: Bacterial small subunit ribosomal RNA
Source: RNAcentral
UACGUAGGGUGCAAGCGUUGUCCGGAAUUAUUGGGCGUAAAGAGCUCGUAGGCGGUUUGUCGCGUCUGCUGUGAAAACUCGGGGCUUAACCCCGGGCCUGCAGUGGGUACGGGCAGACUAGAGUGCGGUAGGGGAGACUGGAAUUCCUGGUGUAGCGGUGAAAUGCGCAGAUAUCAGGAGGAACCCCGGUGGCGAAGGCGGGUCUCCGGGCCGUAACUGACACUGAGGAGCGAAAGCGUGGGGAGCGAACAGG